AGACAACCAAAGUUUUUCCUACUUCUACUCCUAUGCAAGACUAAAUAUUUUUUGGUUGUUUUUUAAGGACAACUAUUAUAAUCUUGAGAAAUAACUUGCAACUAAGAAGAGAGAAGAGGGAUUGUGAGCUCGAGAUAAUUUUGGUGAUCUAGGACGCCCCGUCAUCCCGAUCUCCAUCGGCAUGGUGGACUUCCUAGAAGCACUCUGCGACUUUGGCUCCAGCGUCAACAUUGUGCCCAGGGUUGCAGAUCGGACACUCAGUUUCCCAAAGGAAAUAUUGAAGAACCUCUGCGUUCGAGUUGGUACCUUGUAUGCUCUAGCAGACUUCAUGGUGAUAGAGACUGAUACUAAGGAGAGGGCACCCAUCAUCUUACGGAGGCCAUUCCCAAACACCAGAGCUGUCAUCUACGCUAAUGCUACCAAGAUCAGUUUCUACAUCAAGGGGAAGAAGGAGAUUUUCCUUCAAGAACAAGACUACACAAACUUCAGAGCAAUCCCGACAUGAACCAAGGAAGAGGACCAACAGGAGGAAUAGGAACAAGCAAAUGUGGACCGAGUCAGCUAAGAUGGUCACUGCAGCUCAAGGAGGUCAAGAUCGUCGACUCAAGUCACCUUUCUUGAUCAAGAAGGACGACCCUGGUGUUCCAAGAAUCGAAUGCACAAACAAUGGAUACUCUUUUUAGAAGACACUCUACGACACCGGAUCUGACGACAACAUAAUGGCCGCAGUCACUUAUCAGCUCCUGCAUGGAACCAUGCCCCUACAACCAAGAUACAUUCAGCUUCAAACAAUUUUCAGGUCAUUGACAUAGGAGAAGAUGAGUAUGAUCCAUCCACCAUCCUUGGAAGACCGUUCCUCAGCACUAUCAAAGCCAUUAUCUAUAUUGGAACCGGAGAAGUCCACAUGCACUUCCCCUCUGCGAAAGGUACGCCACUACUUUAAUGAUUAUAUAGUUGAAGAUUCUAAGCAGGUCAGGACAAGAAGAAGACAAACCGCAACCAGAGGAGGCAAAUCGGACGGAUGGGUAGACUAUGAAGGAGAAGUGAUAAGGACUGAAGACAUACAACUUGAACAGAACUGUCCUGAGGAGACCGUAGCACCGAGUCAGGUGUGGAGAGAGAAGAUAGUUAUACACGAAGAAGAGGCGCCGCCGGAACCACCGACUACGCCACUUAGCAAAUCCCAGGACGACUGAGAAAACGGAGAGUCCCGUUCGGAGGACUUAAAAACACCAAACGCCUUGCCAAGAGGUAAACUUGGUAGUUAUCCUUUUCCUUUCAAUUAUUCAAUUAUAGUUUGCUUAGUUAAUCAGGUUCAUGCUAUCUCGAAAAGAAAAUAAAAAUGUUAAAAAAAUAUUAAGCCCCAUGUGAGUAUGCUCAUGGCAUAAAACCCAUAGGUACAUUCACUGUGGUGGCAUAAAAAUAAAAUACAUAUUUUUCUGCUUUAUAAAAACAAAAAUAUAAAAACAGGGAGUAAUAUUUAUUAAGGAGUCUCAACAUGAUAAAGGCUAGAUAUUUAUGCUAACGCUUAAUCAGUUUCACAAGCUUUGUUGUCUAUUUGAGCUCCACAGAAUUUAAGAAUCAAGAAGACUAGCAGACGGAGGACAUUCUAAUCGCUGUCAAAAUACUGCUGACUUUCGAACACACCUCUGCCACCUGCUAGCUACAUCAAGAGAAAUUACGUCAAAAUUCAGCUUGGGGGAGAGCACCCCCAUUUAUCUCGAUAAGUAUUUCUAUCUAUCUUUAUACUUAUACUAUAUUAGAAUAUAAAUACACAUAACUAUAAAAAACCAAAUAAAGAUUUUAUGCUUAUAUAUUUUGCUUAGUGUGUUUAAUAAAUAAAUAAAGUGGCUAUGCUAAUCUGUAUCUAAUAAAACUUAAGCAUGGAUAUGAUGAAUAGUUGCUAUGCCUAAUUUUCAAAUUUGAAGUUCUCUCUCAAGUUUAGAUAUAACUGUUAUAAUUUAAGGCUUGCUCUAGACCUAAACUUGUGGGAUGAAAACUUGAUCUGAAGUCUAAGUUGUUAACAGAUACGAUAUGGGAAGGUUGAGCUGCUGUUUAUCUGUUCCUAGAGAUGCUAGAAUUCUAGAGAAUUUUAUCUUUAAAAAUCUUUAAAAUGUUGCAUGAUGAGUUCCUGUAUGAUGAGAGUUUAAAUUCCUACCACAGCCAUAUAUACAUGCUUGCUAGACCUUGAGCCACACAUUUACUAUUUACUGCUUAUGAGCAUUGAGUGUGGUCAAGCUGUGUAGACCCUUAGGAGCUUGUCAUGUGGUUAAAUCAAGAUUCACUUGCACGAUUACUCAUACAUGCUACUUCUACUCCGGAAGUACCAUCCACAUAUAUCCACUCAUUUCUAUCUCCAGUUUUACCCAAAAUUAUUCUACUCCUAAUCCGGGAGAGAAUAGCCAAAAACAUUUUCCUAUCCCUGUUAUUCCCUAUGAAAUAAAUGCUCCAGUUAUUUUGGUUACUACCACUUGCUACAUUAUUUCAGGAGAUGAGUGCUCUAGUAAAAAAAAAGAGAAAAAAAAAGAAGAAAAAAAAGAGAAAAAAAUAAUAAUAAUAUACGAGGAAAUAAAAAGGAGCAAGUGCUCGGAACCUCGAAAGAAAAGAAAAAGAAGAGCAUCUCAUUCUCCUCAUAAAGUUUCAAAAGCAAGGAAGGUAUGUAUCCCCUGAAUGAGCAAAGUAGAAUUAGACUUCCACCACCAUUGUUAUCACCAUCAUCACCAUACACCAUUCAUUCGCCACACAUGCACAUCUUGAUUUGGCUUAUUGAUUUGUUUCUUUGGAUCCAUGGUUUGACUAUGCAAUAAAUGUCUUUUAAGUAUGUAUACUUUAUCUCCCACCUAUGAGCUCCAGAUAUUAAAGCCUUAUUAGAGUAGGGUGAAAGAAAAGACAAUGUCACUAUGCUUCAUACCACAAAUACUACAUAUUUUGAGAGAAGGCAUAUACGAUCACUGCCUUGGUAAGGAUCCAAAAAUACCACAAAAGAGAGACCUGAGAGAAUCAUACAAGGAAUUUCUGAGUUUUAUUUGAAAAUCUGCAAAAACCCCAGAGCUAUAGCUGUUCAAGAAUAAGAGUCAUGGCACUUGGCUAGACUGUUCUAUCUUUUAACCACUCAAGACAGAAGUGACAGUUACAAGUCCCAUGGUAAAGGUAAAGUAAGUAAGUUUUAAGUCUUGACAGUUUACUCUAACUCAGGGAUGAGAUCUUAUUUAAAAAGCAUGUGUACAUCAAUUUUUAAAAAUAUUGCAACAAUUUAUGAUCCACAGCUGAGUCUAUCCUUGCUCAGGGACGAGCAAGAGGUAAGCUUGGGGGAGUUUGUUGACGGUCCUUAAGUAUCAAAUUUACUUAUCAAAUAAACAAAGAAAAGGAUCCAAAUGAAAUCAACAUCUAGACUUAGGGUUUUAUCUGACAGAAUUCCACGAGUUUUGGUGUUUGUCUAUUUCUGCAGGGGGUUAUCAGGAAAUAAGGAAGAAAGGCCCACAUGUCGGGAUUACAUAGAGAUAUCAACCCACCGCGCAAUUUUCUACCAUCUAGAAGACUCCAGAAGCCACGAGAAGGAAGCGGAGCCCAAAAGGGGCCAGGCCCAGGGCGCCCGCCCUGAGGACCUGGGCGCCCGCCCCCCUCUGGACUCCGUUCCGGACUCUCUUCGCACACGACGUUCCACCGACCUAAUGGAUCUAGAAUAACAUAGUACCACCUCGCCUAUCGACCCAAAAACGCAUAGAAGGUGAGGACUAUAUAAGGAGACCCCCUCUGGCCCCUGGACGAGACAAGAAAUUAUCUUAGAGAUUGAGGGGUGCCCUCAAAGGAAAACCUCUUCUCUAAAUAAUAUUUCUUUUUAGGCUUAGCAACCAAUGUAAAGUAGAAAUAGAUCUUCUAGUUUCUACUAGAUUGAGAGAGAUAGAGUGGAGGUGUGGAUCGGAGGAAGGCCGGCCUGUCGGUGUCUACUCCGAGUUGUACCUACGGGAUCAAGUCUCCUAACCCGAGGCUUGCUUCUAAGAUUCUUCAGUAAUUCGCCUUCUAAUACUAGUAAGUUCUUGUUUUAUUGUUCUUUGGUUUAUGAGUUUACUUUAAUCCUCUUCCGGUUGAGUAUUAGAGUAAUCACUUGUUAGCGUAAACGUGGUGUUUAGGCUAGGGUACUCAUAGAUAUCCCCUGACUAGCUGGACCGUGGUAGUAGCGAGGAACGUGACAUUUCCGAGUUACCUUUGCAGAUCACAUCUCGUUAGCAGGACGGGUAGGUUUAUAGGUGCGGGUCGAACAUCCUUUGUGUUGUCUAGAUUCCGUGAGCCUCCCCAAUAGAACAGUAGAUCAUCCUUACCAAGGUUAGAACGAGACUACAGUUGCAGUCUUCUCUAUACAUCACUCACAUCGAGAGACAUUCUUUGUAGUCUAAAGGGAUAGUAGCAAUAGAUUUGGUUAGUCAGAUGCACCCUUUCUCCCAGUGGUAAAAAUAUAAAUACGAUAACUCUGGAUAACCUCCCAGGUGAAAUGCUCACCGAUAUCCAUGCGCUUGCGGAUCAUUUCCUUAUUGCGUUACCAAAUAUCAACAGGUACUUUAUGAAAAAUUCUUUACAUAUCCUUUAUUAGAGACAACCAUGUGUUUGCAGUUUGCAGAUCACACGAUAACUUUUCCAAAAGGAAUAGUGAGGAAUCUUUGUGUCCGAGUUGGUACCUUAUAUGCCCCAGCAGACUUCGUAGUGGUAGAGACCGGAAAUGAUGAGAGAGCAUCUAUCAUCCUAGGGAGGCCAUUCUUAAACACCACGGGAGCUAUCAUCUAUGCUAGUGCUGCCAAGAUCAGUUUCUACGUCAAAGGGAAGAAGGAGACAUUUUUCUUUAAGAACAGGACUACACAAAUUCCAAAUCAAUCCAGACGUGAAUCAAGGAAGAGGACCAACAGGAGGAACAGGGACAAGCAAGUGUGGACCGAGUCAGCUAAGAUGGUCACUGUAGUUCAUGGAGGUCAAGAUCACCAACUUAAGUCACCGUUUUUGACCAAGAAGGACGACCCAGGAAUGCCAAGCAUUUACUGCUCCAUACAUGGAUAUAGCUUCUACAAGACAAUUUGCGACACCGGAUCGGGCGUCAACAUAAUGGCUGCAGUCACCUAUCGGCUCUUGUUCGGAACCAUGCCACUAAGACCAACAUACAUUCAGCUCCAGAUGGCAGAUCAGACAUUUCGAGAAGUUCAAGGAAUAGUAUCUGAUGUCCCAGUCAAAAUAGUCGAUUACUUUGUCUACACAGACUUUCAAGCUGUUGACAUGGGAGAAGACGAGUAUGAUCCACCCGUCAUCCUUGGAAGACCGUUCCUCAGCACCGUUAAAGCAAUUAUCUACAUUGGAACCGGAGAAGUCCAUAUGCACUUCCCCUCAGAGAAGGUACACCGUUAUUUUACUGACCCUAACUAUAUCAUUGAAGAAUCUAAGCAGGUAAGAAAGCGACGCAACCGCAACCAGAGGAGGCAGAUCAUCAAGGACGGAUGGGCAGACUAUGAAGGAGAAGUUGUAAGGUCAGAAGACAUAGAGUUUAAAUAGAAUUAUCCAGAGGAGAUUGAAGCACCGAGUCAGGUAUGGAAAAUGAAGAUAACUAUACAAGAAGAGGAGGCGCUGCCGGAAGUACCGACUACGCCACCCAACGAACCUCAGGACGAUUAAGAAAAUGGAGAGUCCCGUUCGGAGGACUUAAAAACACCGAACGCCUUGCCAAGAGGUAAACUUGGUAGUUAUCCUUUCCCUUUCAAUUAUUUCAAAGAGUUUACUUAGUUAAUCAUGUUCAUACUAUCUUAAAAAGAAAAUAAAAAUGUGAAAAAACUGUAAGCCCCAUGUGAGUAGACGAGUGGCAUAAAACCCAUAAGUACAUUCACUGUGGUGGCAUAAAAAUAAAAUAAAUAUUUUUUGUGCUUUAUAAAAACAAAAAUAUAAAAACAGGGAGUAAUAAUUAUUAAGGAGUCUCAACUUGAUAAAGGCUAGAUAUUUAUGCUAACACUUAAUCAGUUCCACAAGCUUUGUUGUCUAUUUGAGCUCCACAGAAUUUAAGAAUCAAGAAGACUAGCAGACGGAGGACAUCCUAAUCGCUGUCAGAAUGCUGCUGACUUUCAAAUACACUUCUGCCACCUGCUAGCUACACCAAGAGAAAUUACGUCAAAAUUCAGCUUGGGGGAGAGCACCCCCAUUUAUCCCGAUAAGUAUUUCUUUCUAUCUAUCUUUAUACUUAUAUUAUUUUAGAAUAUAAAUAACUAUGAAAAAACCAAAUAAAGAUUUUAUGCUUAUAUAUAUGCCUUUUGCUUAGUGUGUUUAAUAAAUAAAUAAAGUGGCUAUGCUAAUCUGUAUCUAAAUAAAACUUAAGCAUGGAUAUGAUAAAUAGUUGCUCUGCAUAAUUUGCAAAUUUUAAGUUCUCUCUCAAGUUUAGAUAUAACUGUUAUAAUUUAAAGCUUGCUCUAGACCUAAACUUGUGGGAUGAAAACUUGAUCUGAAGUCUAAGUUGUUAACGGAUAUGAUAUGGGAAGGUUGAGCUGCUGUUUAUCUGUUCCUAGAGAUGCUAGAAUUCUAGAGAAUUUUAUCUUUGAAAAUCUUUAAAAUGUUGCAUGAUGAGUUCCUGUAUGAUGAGAGCUUAAAUUCCUACCACAGCCAUAUAUGCAUGCUUGCUAGACUUUGAGCCACACAUUUAUUAUUUACUGCUUAUGAGCAUUGAGUGUGGUCAAGCUGUGUAGACCCUUAGGAGCUUGUCAUGUGGUUAAAUCAAGAUUUCACUUGCAUGUCCACUCAUAUAUGCUACUUCUACUCCGGAAGUACCAUCCACAUAUAUCCAUUCAUUUCCAUCUCCAGAAUCACCCAAAAAUAUUCUACUCCUAAUCCGGGAGAGAAUAACCAAAAAAAAUAAAUAUUUCUAUUUUUCCCUUUGUAAAAUAAAUGCUCAAGUUAUCUUGUUACUACCACUUGCUAUAUUAUCUCAUGAGAUGAUUGCUCUAAAAAAAAAGAGAAACGAGGAAAUAAAAAGGAGCAAGUGCUCGGAACCUCGAAAGAAAAAAAAAAGUGAGACGAGAGGUAAAAAUGGACAAGUGUCCGACAGUAGAAUUAGGGGUGCAAGAUGCCCACCUGAGAGACAAGAAAAAGAAGAACAUCUCAUUCUCCUCAUAAAGUUUCAAAAGCAAGGAAGGUAUCUAUCCCCUCAAAAGAGCAAAGUAGAAUUAGACUUGCACCACCAUUGUUUCCACCAUUGUUAUCACCAUUAUCACCAUACACCAUUCAUUCGCCACACAUACACAUCUUGAUUUGGCUUAUUGAUUUGUUUCUUUGGAUCCAUGGUUUGACUAUGCAAUAAAUGUCUUGUAAGUAUGUAUACUUUAUCUCCCACCUAUGAACUCCAGAUAUUAAAGCCUUAUUAGAGUAGGGUGAGAGAAAAGGCAAUGUCACUAUGCCUCAUACCACAAAUACUACAUAUCUUGAGAGAAGGCAUAUACCAUCAAUGCCUUGGUAAGGAUCCAAAAAUAUCACAAAAGAGAGACCUGAGAGAAUCAUACAAGGAAUUUCUGAGUUUUAUUUGAAAAUCUGCAAAA
Molecule: long non-coding RNA, 7553 nt
Filed under: Sorghum bicolor (sorghum)
Lineage: Eukaryota; Viridiplantae; Streptophyta; Magnoliopsida; Poales; Poaceae
Description: long non-coding RNA (SBIC_LNC008731)
Source: RNAcentral